CAGUCGCCACGGUAAUACAGAGGGUGCGAGCGUUAAUCGGAUUUACUGGGCGUAAAGCGUGCGUAGGCGGCUUCUUAAGUCGGAUGUGAAAUCCCUGAGCUUAACUUAGGAAUUGCAUUCAAUACUGGGAAGCUAGAGUAUGGGAGAGGAUGGUAGAAUUCCAGGUGUAGCGGUGAAAUGCGUAGAGAUCUGGAGGAAUACCGAUGGCGAAGGCAGCCAUCUGGCCUAAUACUGACGCUGAGGUACGAAAGCAUGGGGAGCAAACAGGAUUAGAUACCCCUGUAGUCCCUGUCUCUUAUAC
RNAcentral lists this ribosomal RNA (301 nucleotides) under uncultured bacterium. RNAcentral describes it as "partial 16S ribosomal RNA". It matches the Rfam family "Bacterial small subunit ribosomal RNA", at positions 509 to 807 of the family's 1533-position model. The record is from RNAcentral.